Long non-coding RNA from Lycium ferocissimum, 2702 nucleotides. RefSeq lists it as uncharacterized. Lineage: Eukaryota; Viridiplantae; Streptophyta; Magnoliopsida; Solanales; Solanaceae. The transcript has 2 exons. The record is from RefSeq and is a predicted model, not a curated record.
AUGGAUUAUGACAGCAGAGGCAGAUGUAUAUAAAAAAUAGCAUAGUUACAGCAUAAUUAUACUUACACUAUUUUUAACUCGAAGUAUGUAUACAUAGUUAAAAAAUAUAAAAAUGACUCUCUGUAUAUGCUCGAACCAUUGACUUCAAUCCUAAAUCUACAUAUCUAUGGAAGUGGGAAAGUAAAAGAUGCAGCCAGAUAAUAAAGCAUAGGGCACCCAAGAUACAUAUACUGUGUAUAGACAAUUGUAUUUGACCAUUCCAAGUGAGUAAUUUCCGCAAGAUAAAUGAUUCACCGCUCAUGCUUUAAGGAAUCAUUUCCCAAUUUCCAAAAUAUUCUGUCAUAUCUACUAUGCCAUUUCUUAUACGCUUCUCUAAAUUCUUAUCACAAUUUAUAAAUCCACAAUAAUCCUCCUUAUUUUUGCCGUCAGCAGAAGAACAAGAGGCAGGAGUAAAAAAAAAAAAAAAAUCGCUCAGUGCAAUUCCACCGCACAACUUAAUUUAGCUAAAAUUGGUCCUUACCUGAAAGUUGGUACGACUUUAUAAUGACAAGUUAUAAGUCUCAAGUCUGGACAUAUCCCUGCUCUGUUUCUAUGGCUUUUGAAUUUCACAGAUUUAAGAAGCCUCUUAUCUGUUUUGUUCUCAAUUUCAGUGAUAUAAAAAUGACAAUCAUACUUAACUGGUUAAAAUAUAAAUAAAAUAAAAUUAUCUACCUUAUGCGUGAGCUGGGUAUAACUUUAAUUAAACAAUUAGAGUUCAUUUUGGUCAUUUGAGUUCAGAUAUGUAGAGUAGAUCAAAUUCUGAGUUUUUCUGAGGUUGAUUUGGAGAUUCAUGUGGCAAUUUCCCUCCAGAAACUUGCAGCUUCAAAUUUAAGACUGAUCCGGAAGCCUGGGACUGAAGUCCCAUUGUUAUCAUGACAAGUUGGUUCCAACUAGGAGGUUUUCGGAUUGAAUUCUAUUAACAACUAAAGGUAUGGAUUCUUCGUGCGAACAACAAAGAGUAGACCGGCUAAGUCAACAUUAUGAUAGCGUUCACAAGUACGGGAUAGGAAAAGACAUCUCAAUGAGUGCUCAACAGAAGGGUGCAUGUCAUUGAGCAGCGACAAUGACCCAAACAAAAACUUUGGUCCAGGUUUGUAGCCUUUGAAACAGGCCUUUAAAAUUACCAUAGUUGCAACAGCACUGUAAGCACUCAGCACUUCUCUUUCGCACAAGUGAAACAACUCCAGGUAAAGUGAUUUAUGGAAUAUCACAAAGCCCUUGGCAUCAAGAAGAGCAAAUUUCUGAGACGAGAAAUAUCAGAACAGCCUUUUGAGUGGGAAGAGUAAGUUUCUCUUUUCCAUGUGGUAGGAGGUUCAACUAAGGUUCAGGUAUCUUUUUCCCAUACAGAAAACACUUACCGAAUCUGUGCUGAUGUUUUACUAGCGUGCCUUAAAAUUUUGAGUUCUAAUUUGUCAUUUAGACUAUUGACCAUUGGAUCAAUCGGCUUCCCCCUCACACCUAACAUUUUCAGUUGGUUUCAUUAAGUAACAAUCAUUAUCCUUUAUCUGGGUUAAAUUUUCCUAAAGCAGGUGUGAUUCAGUUAAGUUGAGCUUGGAUUGAGUUUCAGGGAUUCUUGAUUAAUUGCUGUAUUCGAUAUUUUGAUUGAUUGCCUGUUUCAAAUUUGUGCUAAUUGUUUUUCACACUCUCCCCAGACCCCACUUGUGGGAUUACACUGGGCACAUUGUUAUUGCUUUUUCAUAUUGGCCCAAUUUAUUAAGGUAGAAUUAUUGUUCACUUCAGCAGAGCUAGGGAACAAUCUCAAAAUAAAAGCAGUAAAGAAAUAAGAAGUGCAAAUAGAAGAGCUAGAUGAGAUUUCUUCUUGGGUUAAUAGAGACUACAACUUUGUUUCCCAAACUCAGUCGUUCAGCACUGUACAAUUUACUUCUAUCCUUCCUAAACACUGAAAAUCAGCAGGUGGUUUUCUGUAUACAAGCAAAAAAUAAACCCAAAUGUUUGUUGUCAGUCCCCAUUUGUAACAUCCUACCUACCACUACUCUGUAGUUAACUAAAACCUCUCAAUAUCCUAAAUCUUGAGCUAGUCCUACUUCCAAAAGCCAGCCAAACUGUGAUAUCUUCUGAGCUGCUUAAACAGAUGCACAAAAACCAGCCAGAGAAAAUACUAACAGAAGCACCAUAGUACUAUUUAGUUGAAUAAAAUCCCGAGACACCAAUAUCUGAUUCUCAAACCCAUAAAAUGGCUUAGGUUGUACCAGCUUCUUUUGCCUCAACAUAAGGAGACUGUACACUAUCCUCAUCAGAAUCACUCCCAGAAGAACUUCCUGAAUCUGAAUCUGCAAACAUUUACCAUAGCAAAAGUAAAUAUACCAUCACACUUGUUUAUCAAAAUGAACGACAGAAAAAAAGUUAUACCACUGGAAGAAGAAUCACUGCCAGAACUUGAGCUGCUAGAGCUGCUCGACCCACUACUCACACACGGCCCAUCCUUCUCAAUCUGUACAGGAGGAAAAUUUUCACCUGGUAUUUCCUCACCGAUAUCAACAUCCUCUUCCCCGACAUCCACUUUCUUGUUUUUAGGCAUUACAUGCUCUGGUAUUGGUAUUUCCUCAACGCUAUCAACAUCCUCUUUCCUGAUGUCUGCAUUCUUGUUUUUAGGCAUUGCUUGCUCUGGUUUUGAUAUUUCCUCAACUAUAUCAACAUCUUCA